CCAAUAGCGUAUAUUAAAGUUGUUGCAGUUAAAAAGCUCGUAGUUGAAUUUCGGGAUUAGUACGUUGGUCGUGCCUUGGUACGUACUGGUGUAACUGAUUCCUCCCUUCUGACGAACCGUUAUGCCAUUAAUUUGGUGUGGCGGGAAAUCAGGACUGUUACUUUGAAAAAAUUAGAGUGUUUAAAGCAGGCUCGCGCUUGAAUACAUUAGCAUGGACUAAUGAAAUAGGACGUUAAUCCUAUUUUGUUGGUUUCUAGGAUCGACGUAAUGAUUAAUAGGGAUAGUUGGGGGCAUUAGUAUUCAAUUGUCAGAGGUGAAAUUCUUGGAUUUAUUGAAGACUAACUACUGCGAAAGCAUUUGCCAAGGAUGUUUUCAUUAAUCAAGAACGAAAGUUAGGGGAUCGAAGACGAUCAGAUACCGUCGUAGUCUUAACCAUAAACUAUGCCGACUAGGGAUCGGAUGAUGUUAAUUUUUUAAUGACUCAUUCGGCGCCUUACG
Molecule: unclassified non-coding RNA, 498 nt
Filed under: uncultured Glomus
Lineage: Eukaryota; Fungi; Glomeromycota; Glomeromycetes; Glomerales; Glomeraceae
Description: SSU rRNA
Rfam family: Eukaryotic small subunit ribosomal RNA
Source: RNAcentral